AACGAUGACCCUAAAUUUCUGAUC
This 24-nucleotide non-coding RNA is filed under the name Cricetulus griseus (Chinese hamster). Lineage: Eukaryota; Metazoa; Chordata; Mammalia; Rodentia; Cricetidae. The record is from RNAcentral.